GGGUAAUCAUGGCCCGGGAGCCGGGGUAAUACGUAUGGGGCAAGGGUUGGCCGGAGUUACGGGGAGUAAAGCGCGGCUAGUCGGCCACGCAGGUCCGUUGUGAAAACUAGAGGCUCAACGUCUAGACGUCGACGGAAACCGUGUGGCUAGAGUCCGGAAGAGGAGAGUGGAAUUCCUGGUGUAGCGGUGAAAUGCGCAGAUAUCAGGAAGAACACCAAUGGCGAAGGCAGCUCUCUGGGACGGUACUGACGCUGAGACGCGAAAGCGUGGGGAGCGAACAGGAUUAGAUACCCGAGUAGC
This 300-nucleotide ribosomal RNA is filed under the name uncultured Allochromatium sp. Its description in RNAcentral is "bacterial SSU rRNA". It matches the Rfam family "Bacterial small subunit ribosomal RNA", at positions 495 to 794 of the family's 1533-position model. Lineage: Bacteria; Pseudomonadati; Pseudomonadota; Gammaproteobacteria; Chromatiales; Chromatiaceae. The record is from RNAcentral.